Molecule: ribosomal RNA, 844 nt
Filed under: Gammarus sobaegensis
Lineage: Eukaryota; Metazoa; Arthropoda; Malacostraca; Amphipoda; Gammaridae
Description: partial large subunit ribosomal RNA
Rfam family: Archaeal large subunit ribosomal RNA (bases 417-579)
Source: RNAcentral
AUUACAAUGAAAAAAACCAAUAGGCACCCCCAUACAAGUAAGAAUUAGGUAAAGAGUAAUGAAGUUUUGGGUCUGUACCUUUUGUAUCAGGGGAAUUUAAAAGUGAAAUUAUAAAAGUGUCGAGUCGAUUGGAUCUUUAUUUGAAGCGGUAAUGGGAUUUAUUGAUUUUAGGUAAUAAGAGGUGAAAAGCAGACGACAAUCGUGAUAGCUAGUUGUUUAUAUUUUAAAAGGUAAAGCUUUUAGGGGCCUAUAAGACUCGAGCGUAAAAAUAACUAGGCUUUAAAUUAGCUAAGCUGAUAAAUUGUUUUAAAUAAUUAGGGUUUGGUAGAAAUAUAGGGUUAUAUGACAAUACUAAAAAACUAAGGUUUAUAUAAAUAAUGAAGUUAUUGAAUAGUUAGUGAAGUGGGAAAAGAACUCAAGUUAAGUUAGAUGGUUUAACAAAAACAUUUUUGUCUUAGGGAGAGAAAAUAAAACCUGCCCAGUGCGUUGUAAAUGGCUGCAGUAUUUUGACUGUGCUAAGGUAGCGAAGUCAUUUGCUGCUUAAUUGGUAGCUAGUAUGAAUGGUUAAACUAGUUUUAUCGGUUUGUGCGCUUAAUAGGAAAUUUAAGUAGGGGUAAGAAUUCUUCUGUUGACUAGGGGACGAUAAGACCCUAAAAGCUUAAUUAGUAGAAUACUAGUGGUUAUAGUAAUAAAGUAAUUUCGCUGGGGCGGUGAUAGCAUAUAAACUGCUAUAGGCUUUGAGGAUCCUGAUAUAUUCAGAUAAGAUGGAAAAGUUACUCUAGGGAUAACAGUACAAUAUAUUUGGAGAGGUCAUAUCGAUAAGUAAGUUUGUAACCUCGAUGUU